This 497-nucleotide ribosomal RNA is filed under the name uncultured bacterium. RNAcentral's name for it is "partial 16S ribosomal RNA". It matches the Rfam family "Bacterial small subunit ribosomal RNA", at positions 28 to 507 of the family's 1533-position model. The record is from RNAcentral.
GAUGAACGCUGGCGGCGUGCCUAAUACAUGCAAGUCGAGCGAACAGACGAGGAGCUUGCUCCUCUGACGUUAGCGGCGGACGGGUGAGUAACACGUGGAUAACCUACCUAUAAGACUGGGAUAACUUCGGGAAACCGGAGCUAAUACCGGAUAAUAUAUUGAACCGCAUGGUUCAAUAGUGAAAGACGGUUUUGCUGUCACUUAUAGAUGGAUCCGCGCCGCAUUAGCUAGUUGGUAAGGUAACGGCUUACCAAGGCAACGAUGCGUAGCCGACCUGAGAGGGUGAUCGGCCACACUGGAACUGGAACACGUUCCAGACUCCUACGGGAGGCAGCAGUAGGGAAUCUUGCGCAAUGGGCGAAAGCCUGACGGAGCAGCGCCGCGUGAGUGAUGAAGGUCUUCGUAUCGUAAAACUCUGUUAUUAGGGAAGAACAAAUGUGUAAGUAACUAUGCACGUCUUGACGGUACCGAAUCAGAGAGCCACGGCUAACUACGAG